This 472-nucleotide ribosomal RNA is filed under the name uncultured organism. Its description in RNAcentral is "partial 16S ribosomal RNA". It matches the Rfam family "Bacterial small subunit ribosomal RNA", at positions 334 to 797 of the family's 1533-position model. The record is from RNAcentral.
CACUCCUGCGGGAGGCAGCAGUGGGGAAUUUUGGACAAUGGGCGAAAGCCUGAUCCAGCCAUGCCGCGUGCAGGAUGAAGGCCUUCGGGUUGUAAACUGCUUUUGUACGGAACGAAACGGCCUUUUCUAAUAAAGAGGGCUAAUGACGGUACCGUAAGAAUAAGCACCGGCUAACUACGUGCCAGCAGCCGCGGUAAUACGUAGGGUGCAAGCGUUAAUCGGAAUUACUGGGCGUAAAGCGUGCGCAGGCGGUUAUGUAAGACAGUUGUGAAAUCCCCGGGCUCAACCUGGGAACUGCAUCUGUGACUGCAUAGCUAGAGUACGGUAGAGGGGGAUGGAAUUCCGCGUGUAGCAGUGAAAUGCGUAGAUAUGCGGAGGAACACCGAUGGCGAAGGCAAUCCCCUGGACCUGUACUGACGCUCAUGCACGAAAGCGUGGGGAGCAAACAGGAUUAGAAACCCGAGUAGUCCCA